CCUACGGGUGGCAGCAGUGAGGGAUAUUGGUCAAUGGGGGAAACCCUGAACCAGCAACGCCGCGUGAGGGAAGACGGUUUUCGGAUUGUAAACCUCUGUCCUCUGUGAAGAUAAUGACGGUAGCCGAGGAGGAAGCUCCGGGUAAAUACGUGCCAGCAGCCGGGGUAAUAUGUAGGGAGCAAGCGUUGUCCGGCUUUACUGGGUGUAAAGGGGGCGUAGGCGGCCCUGCAAGUCAGAAGUGAAAUCCAUGGGCUUAACCCGUGAACUGCUUUUGAAACUGGAGGGCUUGAGUGAAGUAGGGGCAGGCGGAAUGGGCGGUGUAGCGGUGAAAUGCGUAGAGAUCGGGAGGAACACCGGUGGCGAAGGUGGCCUGCUGGGCCUUAACUGACGCUGAAGCACGAAAGCGUGGGUAGCAAACAGGAUUAGAUACCCCAGUAGUC
RNAcentral lists this ribosomal RNA (440 nucleotides) under uncultured bacterium. RNAcentral describes it as "partial 16S ribosomal RNA". It matches the Rfam family "Bacterial small subunit ribosomal RNA", at positions 338 to 795 of the family's 1533-position model. The record is from RNAcentral.